GCCUUCAUGGUGUAGCGGUCAGCACGCUCGACGCGUAACCGAGAGGUCCGUGGUUCGAUUCCCGGCGAAGGCG
Stegodyphus mimosarum is the source of this 73-nucleotide non-coding RNA. The record is from Rfam. Lineage: Eukaryota; Metazoa; Arthropoda; Arachnida; Araneae; Eresidae.